UUCAGAAAAAUCUAAAUAUAUAGAACGAAAAGGUGAGACUGACUGAUCUAGCAACGCAUAGCUUAAACUACUGGACGGAUUGGACUGAAAUUUAGCAUGUAGAUAGCUAUUAUUAGGUAUAAAUAAAGAGAAAAAUCC
Molecule: long non-coding RNA, 138 nt
Organism: Maniola jurtina (meadow brown)
Lineage: Eukaryota; Metazoa; Arthropoda; Insecta; Lepidoptera; Nymphalidae
Exons: 3
Source: RefSeq, a predicted model, not a curated record